RNAcentral lists this transfer RNA (69 nucleotides) under Ictidomys tridecemlineatus (thirteen-lined ground squirrel). RNAcentral's name for it is "Spermophilus tridecemlineatus (thirteen-lined ground squirrel) tRNA". It matches the Rfam family "tRNA". Rfam says of the family: Transfer RNA (tRNA) molecules are approximately 80 nucleotides in length. Their secondary structure includes four short double-helical elements and three loops (D, anti-codon, and T loops). Lineage: Eukaryota; Metazoa; Chordata; Mammalia; Rodentia; Sciuridae. The record is from Rfam by way of RNAcentral.
GGGGUUGUGGCUCAGUGGUAGAGCAUUUGCCUAACAUAUGCAAGGCCCUGGGUUCGAUCCUCAGCACCA